RNAcentral lists this ribosomal RNA (446 nucleotides) under uncultured bacterium. Its description in RNAcentral is "partial 16S ribosomal RNA". It matches the Rfam family "Bacterial small subunit ribosomal RNA", at positions 329 to 792 of the family's 1533-position model. The record is from RNAcentral.
GCCCAGACUCCUACGGGAGGCAGCAGUGGGGAAUAUUGCACAAUGGGGGAAACCCUGAUGCAGCGACGCCGCGUGAGCGAUGAAGUAUUUCGGUAUGUAAAGCUCUAUCAGCAGGGAAGAAAAUGACGGUACCUGACUAAGAAGCCCCGGCUAACUACGUGCCAGCAGCCGCGGUAAUACGUAGGGGGCAAGCGUUAUCCGGAUUUACUGGGUGUAAAGGGAGCGUAGACGGUCCUGCAAGCCAGAUGUGAAAGCCCGGGGCUCAACCCCGGGACUGCUCUUGGAACUGCGCGGCUGGAGUGCAGGAGGGGCAGGCGGAAUUCCUGGUGUAGCGGUGAAAUGCGUAGAUAUCAGGAGGAACACCGGUGGCGAAGGCGGCCUGCUGGACUGCGACUGACGUUGAGGCCCGAAAGCGUGGGGAGCAAACAGGAUUAGAUACCCGUGUA